UCUUGUGAUGAUCCAAACGACCCAAUAGGGAUUCCUCAUUCUUAACAAACCGUGUCGAUACUGUUGUUUUAAGUUUCAGCCUUGUCUGACU
This 91-nucleotide small nucleolar RNA is filed under the name Ophiocordyceps unilateralis. RNAcentral describes it as "A. fumigatus snoRNA Afu_455". It matches the Rfam family "A. fumigatus snoRNA Afu_455". The record is from Rfam by way of RNAcentral. Lineage: Eukaryota; Fungi; Ascomycota; Sordariomycetes; Hypocreales; Ophiocordycipitaceae.